GUCUUAAGCUAAAAAUAAUUUACAAAUUUUGUUCACAGGGAAGUCGAAGCAUAGCAAGAUAGGGCUCUUUUGAAAGCUUCUUCAAUUACCUUUCGAUUGACUUUAAACAUGACCUGCUUCAAAAUCUGACUGACAAAUGGGGACGUUUUUCGUAUUUUCGAAAUAUUUUUUGACUUUGGGGAAGUGCCGGCGCCGUGACGUGAGUAGUAUCGAACUUCUUUGUACCCUAUCUUAUACUCCCAUCUAUUCCUUACACUACAAAAAAAGAAUCACGAAAAACGGUUAAUUUUUCUCACGCCGUUUUUUCGGAUAUUUGAAACACUGUGAACCUA
Long non-coding RNA from Bradysia coprophila, 332 nucleotides. The record is from RefSeq and is a predicted model, not a curated record. NCBI's taxonomy places the organism in Eukaryota, Metazoa, Arthropoda, Insecta, Diptera, Sciaridae.